Molecule: non-coding RNA, 124 nt
Organism: Dendroctonus ponderosae (mountain pine beetle)
Lineage: Eukaryota; Metazoa; Arthropoda; Insecta; Coleoptera; Curculionidae
Source: Rfam
CCAUCAUCACCAUCAUCCUGACUAGUCUUUCAGGCAGAUUGGUGCUGGGAGACUUUUAAGAUCUUCCAGUGGCGCAGAAUGCAGCAGUGAGCCCUCGGAAGAUUUCUUCCGGGGGCUUUUUUUU